Molecule: transfer RNA, 40 nt
Filed under: Phrynosoma cornutum
Lineage: Eukaryota; Metazoa; Chordata; Lepidosauria; Squamata; Phrynosomatidae
Description: partial tRNA-Leu
Source: RNAcentral
AGACCUCUUACUUUUAAAGGAUAAAAGUAAUCCAUUGGUC